This 253-nucleotide ribosomal RNA is filed under the name uncultured bacterium. RNAcentral's name for it is "partial 16S ribosomal RNA". It matches the Rfam family "Bacterial small subunit ribosomal RNA", at positions 524 to 776 of the family's 1533-position model. The record is from RNAcentral.
UACGUAGGAUCCAAGCGUUGUCCGGAUUUACUGGGUGUAAAGGGUGCGCAGGCGGACUGGUAAGUCAGUAGUGAAAUCUCGGCGCUCAACGCCGAAACGUCUUUUGAUACUACCAGUCUUGAAUAAGCGAGAGAUCCGUGGAAUUCCGAGUGUAGCAGUGAAAUGUGUAGAUAUUCGGAAGAACACCAGAGGCGAAGGCAGCGGGUUGGCGCUUUAUUGACGCUCAGGCACGAAAGCAUGGGGAUCAAACAGG